Molecule: ribosomal RNA, 253 nt
Filed under: uncultured bacterium
Lineage: Bacteria
Description: partial 16S ribosomal RNA
Rfam family: Bacterial small subunit ribosomal RNA
Source: RNAcentral
UACGUAGGGUGCGAGCGUUAAUCGGAAUUACUGGGCGUAAAGCGUGCGCAGGCGGUUCUCCAAGUCCGUUGUGAAAGCCCCGGGCUUAACCUGGGAAUUGCGGUUGAAACUACAGGGCUAGAAUCUGGCAGAGGGGGGUGGAAUUCCACGUGUAGCAGUGAAAUGCGUAGAGAUGUGGAGGAACACCGAUGGCGAAGGCAGCCCCCUGGGCUGAGAUUGACGCUCAGGCACGAAAGCGUGGGGAGCAAACAGG